This 450-nucleotide ribosomal RNA is filed under the name uncultured bacterium. RNAcentral's name for it is "partial 16S ribosomal RNA". It matches the Rfam family "Bacterial small subunit ribosomal RNA", at positions 338 to 795 of the family's 1533-position model. The record is from RNAcentral.
CCUACGGGGGGCUGCAGUAAGGAAUAUUGGUCAAUGGAGGAAACUCUGAACCAGCCAUCCCGCGUGAAGGAUGAAGGGGCUCUGCCUUGUAAACUUCUUUUGUCUGGGGCGAAAAAGCUCGAUUUAUCGAGAACUGACGGUACCAGAAGAAUAAGCACCGGCUAACUCCGUGCCAGCAGACGCGGUACUACGGAGGGUGCAGGCGUUAUCCGGUUUCACGGGUGUUAAAGCGUCCUUAGGCGGCAGUGGUGAAAGGCUGUGGCUUAACCAUGGAAUUGCCAUUGAUACUGCAGAGCUUGAAUGAGGUUGAGGUUGGCGGAAUGUGACAUGUAGCGGUGAAAUGCUUAGAUAUGUCAUGGAACACCGAUUGCGAAGGCAGCUGACUGGACCUAUAUUGACGCUGAGGCACGAAAGCGUGGGGAGCGAACAGGAUUAGAUACCCGGGUAGUC